RNAcentral lists this ribosomal RNA (443 nucleotides) under uncultured bacterium. Its description in RNAcentral is "partial 16S ribosomal RNA". It matches the Rfam family "Bacterial small subunit ribosomal RNA", at positions 338 to 795 of the family's 1533-position model. The record is from RNAcentral.
CCUACGGGAGGCAGCAGUGGGGAAUAUUGGGCAAUGGGCGCAAGCCUGACCCAGCAACGCCGCGUGAAGGAAGAAGGCUUUCGGGUUGUAAACUUCUUUUCUCAGGGACGAAGCAAGUGACGGUACCUGCGGAAUAAGCCACGGCUAACUACGUGCCAGCAGCCGCUGUAAUACGUAGGUGGCAAGCGUUAUCCGGAUUUACUGGGUGUAAAGGGCGUGUAGGCGGGAAAGCAAGUCAGAUGUGAAAACCAUGGGCUCAACCUGUGGACUGCAUUUGAAACUGUUUUUCUUGAGUACUGGAGAGGCAGACGGAAUUCCUAGUGUAGCGGUGAAAUGCGUAGAUAUUAGGAGGAACACCAGUGGCGAAGGCGGUCUGCUGGACAGCAACUGACGCUGAGGCGCGAAAGCGUGGGGAGCAAACAGGAUUAGAUACCCGAGUAGUC